AUUGAACGCUGGCGGCAGGCCUAACACAUGCAAGUCGAACGAGUGGCGGACGGGUGAGUAAUGUCUGGGAAACUGCCUGAUGGAGGGGGAUAACUACUGGAAACGGUAGCUAAUACCGCAUACCAUCAGAUGUGCCCAGAUGGGAUUAGCUAGUCGGUGGGGUAACGGCUCACCAAGGCGACGAUCCCUAGCUGGUCCGCGAGGAUGACCAGCCACCCUGGAACUGAGACACGGACCAGAAUCCUACGGGAGGCAGCAGUGGGGAAUAUUGCACAAUGGGCGCAAGCCUGAUGCAGCCAUGCCGCGUGUAUUACGAAGGCCUUCGGGUUGGAAAGUACUGUCAGCGGGGAGGCGUUACCCGCAGAAGAAGCACCGGCUAACUCCGUGCCAGCAGCCGCGGUAAUAC
This 406-nucleotide ribosomal RNA is filed under the name uncultured bacterium. Its description in RNAcentral is "partial 16S ribosomal RNA". It matches the Rfam family "Bacterial small subunit ribosomal RNA", at positions 30 to 526 of the family's 1533-position model. The record is from RNAcentral.